Molecule: long non-coding RNA, 3682 nt
Filed under: Sus scrofa (pig)
Lineage: Eukaryota; Metazoa; Chordata; Mammalia; Artiodactyla; Suidae
Description: lncRNA (ENSSSCG00030000530.1)
Source: RNAcentral
UUUUUUUUUUUUUUCGGCUUUUUAGGACUGUACGUGCAGCAUGUGGAAGUUCCCAGGCUAGGGGUCAAAUCAGAGCUACAGCUGGAGGCCACAGCCACAGCCACAGCAACAUGCGAUCUGAGACUCAUCUAGGACCUACAUCACAGCUCAAGGAGACACCAGAUCCUUAACCCACUGAGCAAGGCCAGGGAUGGAACCUUUGUCCUCUUGGAUCCCAGUCGGGUUUGUUAACCACUGAGCCAAGAUGGGAACUCCCAAUACAGUGCUGUUCUUGAUUAACCAGUGUGAACACCUGCUGAUAUCCUGAUUUAUAUGACUUCUUAGCUCACAAACAAGCCCUCCAAUCUGGGAAGUAGGGUCAAGUUUAUGGAGAUGUAAUUUACAUAUGGUAACAUUCGUCUUUUUAGUAUAAAAUCUUAGGAGUUCUGACAACUGCAGUUUAAUCACCCCCAAAUUUCCUCCCACACCCUUUCAGACAACUCCUGCCCCACCCCAGCCCAUGGCAAACAAUGACGGUUUUCUAUUCUUACAUGUUUGCCUUCUCUAGAAUGUCAAAUGAAAGUAGCCUUUUGAUUCUGGCUUCUGCCAUUUGACAUUCAUGAAUCUGAAAUGUAUCUAAAAGUCAUGCAUGUUGUUGCAUAUACCAAUAGUUCACUGAAUGAGUGUUCAAGAGUUUGUUGAUCCAUUCCCUAAAGGACAUAUUUUCCUCAGUUUUUGCUGUUUACAAAUAAGUCUGAAAUAAACAUUAAUAUACAGAUUUUUAUAUGAAAUACUUCAUUUCUCUUCUCUAAAGAAGAGUCCCACUAUCUAGGAGUGGGAUUACUACAUUUUAUAGAAGUGUAUGUUUUGGUUUAUAGAAAUUUACCAUUAUUUUUCAAAAUGAUGUAUCAUUUAAUACUCCCAACAGUAACGUAUGAGAGUUCCAAGUACUUGGCAUUCCUGCCAGCACUUGGUAUUACCUUGUUUUUUGUUUGUUUUGUUUUAACUUAGCCAUUCAAACAGGUGUGCAGUGGCAUAUCAUUAUGGUUUAUCAAGCAUUUCCUCAUCUUUGGAUGUGCCUAUUUCCAUUCAAAUAUCUUCCUUAUACCUAUUCAGAUCUUUUGCUCACUACAUAUUGGGUUCUUUGUUUCUGCAUUAUUGAGUCAUGAGAAUUCUUCAUAUAUUCUGAUUUAAGUGCUUUAUCAAAUAUAUGCCUUACAAUACUAUCUCCCAGUUUUCAGUUCAUCUUUUGGUUCUCUUAAUAGCAUCUUUCAAGAAAUAGAAGUUUUUAAUUUUGAUAAAGUCCAAUUUAUCAACACUUUCUUUUAUGGAUCAUACUUUUGAUGCUCUCAUCUAAGAAAUGUUACCUAACUGAAGAUCAGAAGGUUUUCUUCUAUGUUAUCCUUUAGAACUUUUUAUAGUUUUAGAUUUUAUUUUUAUAUUUAUGAUCCACUCUGACUUAAUAAUUAUAACCUUGCAAGGCAUGUUUUGAGAUUCUUCUAUCAUUUUUUGGCCUAUUUUUCCAGCAUCAUUUGUUGAAAAUGUCCUUUCUUUAUUGACUGGCCUUUAUAGCUAUGUAAAAAAAACAUCAUUUGAUCUUAAAUGUAUUGAUAUAUUUCUCAUUUCUCUACUCUAUUCCAUUAAUCAAUGUUCCUCUCCUUUUGCCAUUAACAUGCCAUCUUAUUUCUGUAUAUUUAUAAGGUUUAAAAUUCAUCACUGUGAGAUUACAACUUCGCCCUUCUUUUUGCAAAUUGAUUUGGUCAUUUUAUCUCCUUUACCUUUCCACAGAUAUUUUAAAAACAGUUUGGUGAAAUCUUCAAAAAUCCUUGCUGGAAAUUUUGUUUGGGACACUGAUUACAUUGAAUCUAUAAACCAAUUUGGAAAUAGCUGACAUAUUAACAACACUGAGCCUUCAAUUCUGUAGGUAGAGUAUAUCAUUCCAUUGAUUUAGAUCUUUAAAUUCUUUUAACUGUUUUAUUUUUUAAAAAUACAGAUUUUCCACAUAAUUUGUUAGAUUGAUACCUAAGUAUUUCAUGGAUUUUCAGAUGCCAUUGUAGAUGGUUCCUUUUUUCCAAUUUCUAAUUUUUCACUGUUACUAUAUAAAAAUACAGGAGUUCCCAUCGUGGCUCAGUGGUAAUGAAUCUGACUAGGAACCAUGAGCCACGAUGGAAACUCCAAAAUAUAUAUUUUUAAUUAAUCACAGCAUAAUUUCAAAUAAUACUGUAGCCCUGUACCUAUAAGAAACUAAACAAUUGUAUAUUCCCAACUCCUCCUUCCCAUCUUUUGUGCUAAGGCUAUCAUAUAUGCUACCUAUACAUAUGCUAUAAACUCACAGAUAACUGCUACCAUUUUUGUUCUAGAGAGUCACUUGCUUUUUAGAGUGAUUAAAAUUAAGGAAAAAUAUAUUUUGUAUGUAUCUUCAUUUUAGCCAUUUCCAAAGAUCAUUAUUUCUCUGGUUUCUCUGUGUGGGUCCAUGUCUCUGAUAUUAUACUCAUUCUGUCUGGAAAAGUUGCUUUAACAUUUCUAGAACAGGUUCUAGUGGUAAUAAAUUCUCUUAGUUUUUAAUUUGUUUGAAAUGUCUGUUUCUCCUUCAUUUUUUGUUUCUUUUUAGGGCUGUACCUGCAGCAUAUGGAAAUUCCUGAGCUAGGAAUCAAAUAGAAGCUGUAGCUGCAGCUGCUGGCCUACACCACAGCCACAAUCAUAGCAACAUGGGAUCCAAGCUGCAUUUGUGACCUAUACCACACCUUGCAGCAACACUGGAUCCUUAACCCACUGAGCAAGGCCAGGAAUUGAACCCACAUCCUCAUGGAUACUAGUUGGGUUCACUAUCUGCUGAGACACAAUGGGAACUUCCAUCCUUCAUUUUAAAAGUUAACUUCACAUGGUAUGGAAUACUGAGCUGACAGUUUUAUAUUUGUGGCACUUUAAAGUUGUGUCACUUUAUUGUUUUCUGGUUUGCAUAGUGUCUAAUGAGAAGUUUGCUGUAAUUCUUAAUUUUGUUCCUUUGUAUGUUAACAGGUCUAUUUUAUUUGAGCUGCCUUCAAGAUUUACUCUUUAUCUUUGAAUCUCAUCAAUUUGCCUAUGAUAUGUCUAACAGUGCAGGGUUUUCAGGAGACGUAUUUAUCCUGCUCGGGCUUCUUUGAGCCUCUAUGAUUGGUGAUUUGAUGUCUUUUAUUAUAUUUGGAAAAUUAUUAACCAAUCUCUUGAAAUAUUUCUAUCUCAUUCUCUUUUUUAUCUAGGAUUCCAUUUACAAAUAUGUUAUACCAGUUAAUACUGUAUUUGGAUGCUCUGUUUUUGUUCUUUUCAUUCUUUCCUCUUUACUUCUUGACACCUGCCACUUUAGUGUAACAACUUCAUAAAGUAUAGUUAUAUAAUUAUAAAAUAAUUUCUAUUGUUCCAUGUUCAAGUUCAUGAUCCUUUCUUUGGCAGUGUAGAGUCUACUGAUAAGCACAUCAAGAGCAUUCUCUUUUCAUGCUUUCAUAUCAUGUUUCAUAUCAUGUUUCAUAUCGUUUCAUCAUGUUUUCAUAUCUAGCAUUUCCAUUUGAUAUUUUCUUACAUUCUAUCUUUCAGGUAAAAUGCCACAUUUGCUCAUGAAUAUUUUCACCUUUUCCACCACAGCUUUCAAUCAUAAAGUUACUUUAAAUUCCUAUAUGAUGGUUUUAAUAUCUGCCUCAUAUCUAACUCAGGUACUAUUGAGUGCCCU